GCUUCCUUCCAUUAGCACAAGGCUUCCAAUAGAUCAAAUUCCACGUGACAACACUACCAGGUACCUACAAGUACAUGUAUAUAGCUAGCACAAAAUUGUACGAUUAGCUAAGUACAGUGCAUGUGUACAGUGUACAUCUGCAUGAGAAUGAGACUAGCUUGUGCUGUAGUAGCUCUAUGUCUAGUAGCCUUGGUUACUGGCAAGAUUACAGAUAAAUCUACGGCAAUAGAAUUAUUUGAGAGGGUCGCGAUUCAGAAGCAGUCAAUAAGUGAAGCUUUGCGUGAGAUCACAAAAGGGAACAAUGAUCACAAAAUGGACGAUUCUUUGCCAGCAACUAUACAGUUUGUGGAGCGUCUCUCUCACCUGACACCAGAGGAGAAGAAACUCUACAUGGAAAUGAUGGGCAAAUGAGUGCUCUCUCUCUCACAUGCACAGCUACAUACACACUAAACAGUGAAACAGUGAAACUAUCGAACUUUUAUAUUCAACAUUCUCAUGACUUAAUUAUAUACCACAGUAAUUAUUCUUAUAAACGCGUACAGAAAGGAUUGCAUAUGA
Molecule: long non-coding RNA, 558 nt
Organism: Halichondria panicea
Lineage: Eukaryota; Metazoa; Porifera; Demospongiae; Suberitida; Halichondriidae
Exons: 2
Source: RefSeq, a predicted model, not a curated record